This 479-nucleotide ribosomal RNA is filed under the name uncultured Alteromonadales bacterium. RNAcentral's name for it is "bacterial SSU rRNA". It matches the Rfam family "Bacterial small subunit ribosomal RNA", at positions 30 to 505 of the family's 1533-position model. Lineage: Bacteria; Pseudomonadati; Pseudomonadota; Gammaproteobacteria; Alteromonadales. The record is from RNAcentral.
AUUGAACGCUGGCGGCAGGCCUAACACAUGCAAGUCGAGCGCGAAAACACUUCGGUGUGAGUAAAGCGGCGGACGGGUGAGUAACGCGUAGGAAUCUACCUAGUAGUGGGGGACAACUCGGGGAAACUCGAGCUAAUACCGCAUACGCCCUACGGGGGAAAGCGGGGGACCUUCGGGCCUCGUGCUAUUAGAUGAGCCUGCGUUGGAUUAGCUAGUUGGUGGGGUAAAGGCCUACCAAGGCGACGAUCCAUAGCUGGUCUGAGAGGAUGAUCAGCCACACCGGGACUGAGACACGGCCCGGACUCCUACGGGAGGCAGCAGUGGGGAAUAUUGCGCAAUGGGCGAAAGCCUGACGCAGCCAUGCCGCGUGUGUGAAGAAGGCCUUCGGGUUGUAAAGCACUUUCAAUUGGGAGGAAAGGUUCACGGUUAAUAACCGUGAGCUGUGACGUUACCUUUAGAAGAAGCACCGGCUAACUCCG